CCUUCACCCCCCACCUCCCCGCCUUCUUUUCUUUUAUACUAAGUGUUCGUGCAAAUGCAUGUAUAAAUUAUUUUAAUUUAUAUCAAAUCACUAUAAAUUUUUACAUUAUAUUUAUUAAAAAUUUACAAUAAAAAUUAUGUUUUAGAAAUUAAUAUAUUAUAUUUUAUUGGAAAAUAUCUCCAAUAUCCUAUAUUAAUUUUUCAAUAUAUUCAUUGAAUAUUUUUAUAUAUUUUUUGAAUUCCGAUAAAUUUAAAAUUUAAGUAUAUUGUUUAAACCAAAAGUGUCAAAAUUUAAUUUACAUUUACUUUGAAAUUUAAAAUUUAAUUUUGAUUUACCGUAAUUAAAUAUUUUAAUUAUUAAUUCAAAUUGAUAUCCAAAAUUUACAAAUUUAAAUUUGUUAAAAUUUAAUUUUGAUCCACUGUAAUUAUAACUUUUAAUCGUUAAUUCAAAUUUGAUAUCCAAAAUUAAAUUAAAUUCAUUAUUUAAACUCAAAUUUUAAUUUUAAUAAAAAAUCUAUGGAUAGAAAUGCUAUUUUUUAACAAAUUAAUCAUUAGACCAAUUUGCAUAAAAAAUCUACAAAUUUUGAGCUUUUGCAAAACUGGGCUGCUUUUUUCGAUUUUGCAGAUUCUGUCCGAAUUUUCAGCAAACUGACCAAAAUACCCUUACUAUUUUUUCUCUCUCCUCUUUUUUUUCUCUCGUUCAUUUUUUUUUCUCUCACCGAA
Molecule: long non-coding RNA, 722 nt
Filed under: Ananas comosus (pineapple)
Lineage: Eukaryota; Viridiplantae; Streptophyta; Magnoliopsida; Poales; Bromeliaceae
Description: long non-coding RNA (ACOM_LNC002255)
Source: RNAcentral